This is a long non-coding RNA of Oncorhynchus tshawytscha (Chinook salmon), 1524 nucleotides long. The record is from Ensembl. Lineage: Eukaryota; Metazoa; Chordata; Actinopteri; Salmoniformes; Salmonidae.
GUGCGUCUGUGUGUCUGAGCGUGGGUGUGUGCGUGUGUGUGUGCGUCUGUGUGUCUGAGCCUGGGUGUGUGUGUGUGUGUGUGCGUCUGUGUGUCUGAGCGUGGGUGUGUGUGUGUGUGUGUGCGUCUGUGUGUCUGAGCCUGGGUGUGUGUGUGUGUGUGUGUGUGUGUGUGUGUGUGCGUCUGUGUGUCUGAGCCUGGGUGUGUGUGUGUGUGUGCGUCUGUGUGUCUGAGCCUGGGUGUGUGUGUGUGUGUGUGCGUCUGUGUGUCUGAGCCUGGGUGUGUGUGUGUGUGUGUGUGUGUGUGUGCAUGUUUCAGUGGUAGGGAGUGUUUUGGGCAUUACUCUGGAUGGAGAAACACAGAAGAGAAAGGAAGGAGACAGAGGAUGAUGAAGGGGAACAUGAGGAGGAUGAAGGGUAAUAGGAGGAGGAUGAAGGGGAACAUGAGGAGGAUGAAGGGUAAUAGGAGGAGGAUGAAGGGGAACAUGAGGAGGAUGAAGGGUAAUAGGAGGAGGAUGAAGGGUAAUAGGAGGAGGAUGAAGGGUAAUAGGAGGAGGAUGAAGGGUAAUAGGAGGAGGAUGAAGGGUAAUAGGAGGAGGAUGAAGGGGAACAUGAGGAGGAGGAAGGGUAAUAGGAGGAGGAUGAAGGGGAACAUGAGGAGGAGGAAGGGAACAUGAGGAGGAUUAAGGGUAAUAGGAGGAGGAUGAAGGGGAACAUGAGGAGGAUGAAGGGUAAUAGGAGGAGGAUGAAGGGGAACAUGAGGAGGAGGAAGGGUAAUAGGAGGAGGAUGAAGGGGAACAUGAGGAGGAUGAAGGGUAAUAGGAGGAGGAUGAAGGGGAACAUGAGGAGGAGGAAGGGUAAUAGGAGGAGGAUGAAGGGGAACAUGAGGAGGAUUAAGGGUAACAUGAGGAGGAUUAAGGGUAAUAGGAGGAGGAUGAAGGGGAACAUGAGGAGGAGGAAGGUAACAUGAGGAGGAUAAAGGGUAAUAGGAGGAGGAUGAAGGGGAACAUGAGGAGGAGGAAGGGUAAUAGGAGGAGGAGGAAGGGUAAUAGGAGGAGGAUGAAGGGGAACAUGAGGAGGAGGAAGGUAACAUGAGGAGGAUGAAGGGUAAUAGGAGGAGGAUGAAGGGGAACAUGAGGAGGAGGAAGGUAACAUGAGGAGGAUGAAGGGUAAUAGGUGGAGGAUGAAGGGGAACAUGAGGAGGAGGAAGGUAACAUGAGGAGGAGGAAGGGGAAAAGGAGGAGGAUGAAGGGGAACAUGAGGAGGAGGAAGGUAACAUGAGGAGGAUGAAGGGGAAAAGGAGGAGGAUGAAGGGGAACAUGAGGAGACACCACUCAUAACCAUGAGUUUCUCAUAGGAACGUUUAGUCAUUUAAUACUGCUAUUUAUAGUGUGUUGGACAAUGUCCCCCAUAGCUCUCUCUUUAGAGCUCUCUCUUUGUCCCCUACGGCUCUGUCUUUGUCCCCCACAGCUCUCUCUUCAGAGCUCUCUCUUUGUCCCCCACAGCUCUCUCUCUUUGUCCCCCAC